Long non-coding RNA from Oncorhynchus tshawytscha (Chinook salmon), 1141 nucleotides. Lineage: Eukaryota; Metazoa; Chordata; Actinopteri; Salmoniformes; Salmonidae. The record is from Ensembl.
CAAGUGUAGACAGGAUAUGGUGAUGAGGGACUCCAUUGCUGUUUGUGUGCAUGCAUGAGAGGGUGCAUGUGCAACUUUAGAGACGGCCUGCAUGGGCAGAGAACCGCAAGAGGGGCCUACGACUCCCAGGGUGCAGUACAAGAACCUGUCUUACUGGGGCUAAUGCCUCCACUAUGCCAACAGAGGAAUUGCAGACUCAAAGAAAACCUGCAGAUUGAGCACAUUAUACCGAAAUAUUCAGAGAAGUGGCCACCUAAGGGCCUGGUUCUCGUGUCCAAUUGUCCACUUGAGAACUCUGACUGACAAUUUGUUGGAGACGCUACAUCCCUUCAGGAAAUAAACAAAACUCCUCCAUACUGAACGUGUUGUGAUGGACAGCACUGUUACAGGGGUCAACAUCCCACAGCUGGUUGGACUGGAGGAUGAUACGGUGCUGGUGGAAAGCUAUGGCUAGCAACAACACCAGACUCCGUACUUCAGGCCGCUGCCACAUUUCAAGCAGUACCAGCACUUUAGUUUCAAUGCUCUGGAGCCUGGUGUUGUUGUCGUCAAGGAGCGUUCGGACUCUGUCAGGACCAGGUUUCAGCUGCUGCGCAACGCUGACAUCCGUCCUCCCAUAGAUGGUCUACAAGCACCGCCUGGACUGAACACAGCAAGACAAACUUUUUGAGAAGAUCAGGGAGUUUUGUGACGAAGAGGCUAUGGACAUCACAUGCCCUGUACCAAAGUCAAGGGCAGGACAGAAACAGGCUCUCCGAAUACAGAUUCCCUUGUUCAUGCAUGGUUCGGACAGACCAGUCAUCAGCACUAUCUGCAGUGCCUUUAUUCAACUGACUCUCUCCUAACACACAUGCCAUACGUUGCUGCUACUAUUAUUUUUGUAUCCUGCUGCUCAGCCACUUUACCCCUGAUUGUAUGCAUAUAACUAAUCUAUCAAUGAUAUUGAUAUUGUUCUUACUGUAUAUUAUUAUAUUUAUAUUGACACUUUCUAUUUCUGAUUAUGCUACUAUGCAAGUAACCAUUUGGCUGUACCGUUUACACCUUCUGUAGAGACCCAGCCACUUGGCAAGAUGUGGAUGGGUUUAUAGCAUUUCUUUCACGUGACCCAUCAAUUUAUACAAGUGUGUCUGGGUAAGCGUCA